CCUACGGGAGGCUGCAGUGGGGAAUAUUGGACAAUGGGCGAAAGCCUGAUCCAGCCAUGCCGCGUGUGUGAAGAAGGCCUUCGGGUUGUAAAGCACUUUCAGUGGGGAAGAAAGCCUUGGGGCUAAUACCCUCGAGGAAGGACAUCACCCACAGAAGAAGCACCGGCUAACUCCGUGCCAGCAGCCGCGGUAAUACGGAGGGUGCGAGCGUUAAUCGGAAUUACUGGGCGUAAAGCGCGCGUAGGCGGUCUGAUAAGCCGGUUGUGAAAGCCCCGGGCUCAACCUGGGAACGGCAUCCGGAACUGUGAGGCUAGAGUGCAGAAGAGGAAGGUAGAAUUCCAGGUGUAGCGGUGAAAUGCGUAGAGAUCGGGAGGAAUACCAGUGGCGAAGGCGGCCUUCUGGACUGACACUGACGCUGAGGUGCGAAAGCGUGGGUAGCAAACAGGAUUAGAUACCCGUGUAGUC
Molecule: ribosomal RNA, 465 nt
Filed under: Vreelandella stevensii
Lineage: Bacteria; Pseudomonadati; Pseudomonadota; Gammaproteobacteria; Oceanospirillales; Halomonadaceae
Description: partial 16S ribosomal RNA
Rfam family: Bacterial small subunit ribosomal RNA
Source: RNAcentral